GACGAACGCUGGCGGCGUGCUUAACACAUGCAAGUCGAACGGAAAGGCCCUGCUUUUGUGGGGUGCUCGAUUGGCGAACGGGUGAGUAACACGUGAGUAACCUGCCCUUGACUUUGGGAUAACUUCAGGAAACUGGGGCUAAUACCGGAUAGGAUCUCCUGCUGCAUGGUGGGGGUUGGAAAGUUUCGGCGGUGCGGGAUGGACUCGCGGCUUAUCAGCUUGUUGGUGGGGUAGUGGCUUACCAAGGCUUUGACGGGUAGCCGGCCUGAGAGGGUGACCGGCCACAUUGGGCCUGAGAUACGGACCAGACUCCUACGGGAGGCAGCAGUGGGGAAUAUUGCACAAUGGGCGGAAGCCUGAUGCAGCAACGCCGCGUGCGGGAUGACGGCCUUCGGGUUGUAAACAGAUUUCGCCUGUGACGAAGCGUGAGUGACGGUAAUGGGUAAAGAAGCACCGGCUAACUACGUG
This 468-nucleotide ribosomal RNA is filed under the name uncultured bacterium. RNAcentral's name for it is "partial 16S ribosomal RNA". It matches the Rfam family "Bacterial small subunit ribosomal RNA", at positions 28 to 507 of the family's 1533-position model. The record is from RNAcentral.